UUUUUCUUUGACAUGUUCAGAUGUUGGCAAGGCUGAAAACUGCAGGGGAUCUGGUUGUGAUAAUCCAGCUUCUUCUGGGACGUAAUCUCAACACCCACCCUCCGAAAACAAGAAGGACCAGUCCUCUGAAACUCACUCCCUGUUUACGUUGAUGAAAUAGUCAUUCCUGAUUUCUGGACCAGAAACCUGAAUAUUGCAUUUCUCUAGCUCAUGUUCAGUAUAAGCUCUUGACAAAGAUUUGUUUCUUCCUUUCAGAUGUUAUCUAGGUUCUUCCCCUCUGGUCCGUUUAUGUUAUGCUUGCGCAGACUCUGACCCCAUCAACUAAGAUAC
RNAcentral lists this long non-coding RNA (330 nucleotides) under Homo sapiens (human). Its description in RNAcentral is "CDH13 antisense oligodendrocyte and neuron associated lncRNA". The record is from RNAcentral. Lineage: Eukaryota; Metazoa; Chordata; Mammalia; Primates; Hominidae.